RNAcentral lists this ribosomal RNA (385 nucleotides) under uncultured bacterium. Its description in RNAcentral is "bacterial SSU rRNA". It matches the Rfam family "Bacterial small subunit ribosomal RNA", at positions 28 to 414 of the family's 1533-position model. The record is from RNAcentral.
GACGAACGCUGGCGGCGUGCUUAACACAUGCAAGUCGAGCAGUAAGGCCCUUUCGGGGGUACACGAGCGGCGAACGGGUGAGUAACACGUGGGUGACCUGCCCUCAGCUCUGGGAUAAGCCUGGGAAACCGGGUCUAAUACCGGAUAUGACUCCAUGACGCAUGUUGUGGGGUGGAAAGCCUUGUGCGGCUGAGGAUGGGCCCGCGGCCUAUCAGCUUGUUGGUGGGGUGANGGCCUACCAAGGCGACGACGGGUAGCCGGCCUGAGAGGGCGACCGGCCACACUGGGACUGAGACACGGCCCAGACUCCUACGGGAGGCAGCAGUGGGGAAUCUUGCGCAAUGGGCGAAAGCCUGACGCAGCGACGCCGCGUGAGGGAUGACGG